Molecule: transfer RNA, 72 nt
Filed under: Candidatus Pacebacteria bacterium CG10_big_fil_rev_8_21_14_0_10_56_10
Lineage: Bacteria; Bacillati; Minisyncoccota
Description: tRNA-Arg
Rfam family: tRNA
About the family: Transfer RNA (tRNA) molecules are approximately 80 nucleotides in length. Their secondary structure includes four short double-helical elements and three loops (D, anti-codon, and T loops).
Source: RNAcentral
GUCCCCAUAGUUAAAUGGACAUAACGAGCGCCUCCUAAGCGCUAGUUCCAGGUUCGACUCCUGGUGGGGACA